RNAcentral lists this ribosomal RNA (248 nucleotides) under uncultured soil bacterium. RNAcentral describes it as "partial 16S ribosomal RNA". It matches the Rfam family "Bacterial small subunit ribosomal RNA", at positions 26 to 286 of the family's 1533-position model. The record is from RNAcentral.
AGAUUGAACGCUGGCGGCAUGCCUAACACGUGCAAGUCGAACGGGAGUAGCAAUACUCUAGUGGCGGACGGGUGAGGAAUACGUAGGAAUUUGCCCUUAAGUGGGGGAUAACCCGGGGAAACCCGGAUUAAUACCGCAUGACCUCGAAAGAGCAAAGUGGGGGAUCGCAAGACCUCACGCUUUUGGAGAAGCCUACGUCGGAUUAGCUAGUUGGUGAGGUAAUGGCUCACCAAGGCGACGAUCCGUAA